Long non-coding RNA from Triticum aestivum (bread wheat), 1320 nucleotides. RefSeq lists it as uncharacterized. NCBI's taxonomy places the organism in Eukaryota, Viridiplantae, Streptophyta, Magnoliopsida, Poales, Poaceae. The record is from RefSeq and is a predicted model, not a curated record. The transcript is spliced from 6 exons.
ACUCGCUCCUUCCUUCCUCACCCUAGCCCCAAUCCACAACCCCACGCCCCUUGCUCCUUUCUUCCUCACCCGCCGCCGCUCCCUCCCACCUCCUCCUCCUCCUUCUACGCCCUAGGAGCCCCGCCGCCGCCCUUCUGCUACUCCUCCACCGGCCCGCCCUGCUGCGUCGCGAGCCCCUCCCUCCUCUUCGUGUUCCGGUGGUCGAUAGUCGGGGUCAACGAGGAGAUGCACGUGGCGGCGGCCAUGGACAACUCCAUGAGCGGGACCACCGCCGUCGCGGCGCCUGCGGCCGGCGGCGCACUCCACGGGGCUCGGGAUGUCCGCGGCGGCGCGGGCUGUGGACCGAGAGGCAGGGCCCUUGAUGCGUUCUGUUCGAGGGGCUGGUCGGGCUGGCGCGGGAUCUGAGCCACCGUUGAUGGAUUUCUCGCAGCUUGGCUCCUGUUGCUUUGGAUCCGGAUGGUGUUAAAGAGGUGUGACAUGUGACGUCAAUGGGGAGGUGCGUAGGGGCGGUUCUGGUCAAGGGUGUCCUCGCGGUGGCCAUCGACGAUGAAGUGGUGCUGCCUAUGGGGCGGCUUCUCUUUCUCCGGCGGGCGUGGUCCGUGGGAUCUGGUGGGUGCACAACUUCUCUUGUUGGUGCAGUCUUUUGUUGGUUCCAAUACAGUGAUGCUCCUGGGUGACUCCAGUCUGAGAAAGAGGGAAAUGCAGGUCACGCUAGCUUGCAACCAUUUUUGGGAUGGAUUGAUCGAUAGAAUGCCGAGGAUUCUUGCGAUCAUUUAGGGUUGAAGUAUAUUCUCCUUGCAUGACACAAGUGCUACGACUAUGAAGAUGACGUGUUGAAGAAGCACCAUCGACGUCAGCGUCACCGUCCUUGGGAUGGAGAAGACGCCACUCCCAAAUCGUCUCUGUACUGCAUCCAGCUUCUUCUGGAGCUUCUUCUAGUGGUUCUACACCGGCGGCGACGUCUGCGGCUUCCUCCAGUUCCCCACCUUCGGGCUUAAAGCCUGGAAGCAAAUGUAGCUCAUGGCGAGUGAUGCGUGAGCCGUCUCGAUCCUUUUGCUCUGUUAUUAUAUUUUAGCCAUGAAGGAUUUACUGCUAGUUAGUUCGUAGUGGUUCCGGCAGUUUGCUGAACUUCUGUUCUUGCUUGUGCUAUUUUUUUACUGUUUAGAUGGCUCAAUUUACUUCCAAUUUUACUCUUGAGUUUUCCCAUGUGUCGGUGUCAAAACCGGCGGAUCUCGGGUAGGGGGUCCCGAUCUGUGCGUCUAGGCGGAUGGUAACAGGAGACGAGGGACACGAUGUUUUUACCCAGGUUCGGGCCCUCUU